Syzygium oleosum is the source of this 434-nucleotide long non-coding RNA. RefSeq lists it as uncharacterized. Lineage: Eukaryota; Viridiplantae; Streptophyta; Magnoliopsida; Myrtales; Myrtaceae. The record is from RefSeq and is a predicted model, not a curated record. The transcript has 2 exons.
UAUUAUAGUCCCUCGAGGGAUCAAUUCACUAUUCUACGAACGUCAGAUCCUAAAGCAUUUUUUUGGAUCCUUCACAGAUGUCGUACCUCACAAAUACUCCAAAAUUUUCAAAGAUUGACCGAGAUUUGUUCUUUUGUGAUCCAACGUUCAUCAAUCACCAAGGAAUGGGUCCUCGGUAAUGUGUGGAAGUGCCCCAAGGUGUAGAUGGUAUUAUAUGCUGUGCACAGGGGACAGAUCACAGAUGCUUGAAUAUAUUCAAUACAGACGAAAUGAAAAUAGAAUAUAGCCAGUACAUGCCAUCUGGUUCUGCUUUGACCCCCUAGAAAAGGUAUAUUCCUCAAAGAACUUAUCUCUCACUACAUAAUUUCAACAAAUGAACAGACGCCAAUUUAAACUGGAGGAUCUUAAGGUACAAAACUAAACAAAACCAAAAA